Molecule: ribosomal RNA, 161 nt
Filed under: Penicillium antarcticum
Lineage: Eukaryota; Fungi; Ascomycota; Eurotiomycetes; Eurotiales; Aspergillaceae
Description: 5.8S ribosomal RNA
Rfam family: 5.8S ribosomal RNA
About the family: 5.8S ribosomal RNA (5.8S rRNA) is a component of the large subunit of the eukaryotic ribosome. It is transcribed by RNA polymerase I as part of the 45S precursor that also contains 18S and 28S rRNA.
Source: RNAcentral
AAACUUUCAACAACGGAUCUCUUGGUUCCGGCAUCGAUGAAGAACGCAGCGAAAUGCGAUACGUAAUGUGAAUUGCAGGAAUUCAGUGAAUCAUCGAGUCUUUGAACGCACAUUGCGCCCCCCUGGUAUUCCGGGGGGCAUGGCCUGUCCCGAGCGUCAUU